Pelodiscus sinensis (Chinese soft-shelled turtle) is the source of this 1803-nucleotide non-coding RNA. Lineage: Eukaryota; Metazoa; Chordata; Testudines; Trionychidae. The record is from RefSeq and is a predicted model, not a curated record.
CCAGCCAAUAGGAGCUGAGAAAUUUUGCUGAGGGGCAGGGACAACAUGUGACGCCUCCCUCCACAGUACAGAGAGCCACAUGACAUAGUCAUCUGAGUGAUCUGGCAUUGCUGGCAGGCAGGGAAUCCUGCCUGAGGGCUGCUGGCUAGGAGCUGCAUAGCCUUAUGCCCAGGUCCCGGAGCAGGAGCUGCCGCUGCUAGCUAUGACAUCAGUGAAUCAAAUCCAACUUCCAGCCAAAUUCCAACACAUUUUCUUUGGGGACGUCAGAGAAUAACGUGAUAGAAGCCACUGAUAGUACUGCUGACAAUGAAUGGGGCUGUAAAACUUUCAAGUGAUCGCAAAAUACGCACCAGCUUUGAGAAUAAGGAGUAAGCGCUUUCUUUCCAGGCUGAAAGGCACACACUCCUGUUUUGUCUUCAGCAAAAGGUCUGGUCUUCUGCAGAGACUGCUGGUUUAACUGCUUGUCUAGAGACUCACCCACCACAAUGACUGAGGAGUAAUAUACUGAAUGCACUAUAAAAAGCUCUUAAAAAGACAUUGGUAUCCUUCACAUAGGACAUUUUUCAGGUUGUGCUGUAACAGCUCACCAAGGGUUUAUCUACACAGGAUUAUUCCCAGAAGGGGCAAGGCCAGGGGCAGCUAGGUCUCAGUGCAGCCUGGUGCGCAUUGCUCCGGUGAGGAGUUAAAGGGCCCAGAGCUCCAAGCCCCACCACUACCACAGUAACAGUGCCUUUUGAAUUGCCAGGCUUUGGGGCAGUUACUCCCUUCUCUGUCCUCCAUUCCUCUUUGUUGGCAUACCAGGUUAUCCCAGAAUAGCUAUUCCUGGUUAACUCUCUCUGGCUUUGUGUGGAUUUUCUUAUUCCAGAAUUAGAGUGCUUUUUUCUGAACUAGCUUGAUCUGCACAAAGAGUUAUUCAGGAAUAGCUAUUCUGCUUUAAAUUCAUGUCCUGUCUGAAUUCAGAUUAACUUCCCUGCCUAGACAAGCUUGCAGUGGUGGACAGGAGUUCAACCCACAUCAAAGUACUCAGUGUUGAUUCUAAUACAUAAUCCUCCCAAAGGUCUCCUUGUAUUGUUUUUGUCAAUAUUAUUCCACAGACACAAGAACUGGUUUGAACUAAAUUCUGUUUAAUAUGUAAGAUUGUGCAAUAACAUGUAUUGCAGCUUUUCCAGGGGUAUAUUGGCCAUGAUUACUGGGUUUUUACCAGCAGAGCUGGCUAAAACAUGCACUAAAAAGAUGCAAAAAUGUGGUCAACAUUUUGUUUGCGCUUUUUGGUGAAAGUCCAAAUGUUAAUAUUUUUCAUUGACCUUUCAAUAAUAGAAAUUUUAUGACUAGCCCUGUCUUCUAUUUCCCUCCAAAUUUCACAGGAUUGUUAGCUACUAGCAGAAGUGAAGUCAGUUUUUCACCCCAAUGACACCUGCAGCUGAGCAGCAAUUUCCCCAUGAAGGCACUGGUGUAGGAGUCAGACUAGAAUCCAAAAGAACUUGAGCUUUCCAGGCCAAAAAUAGUGCUACACAUUCUUAAAGAAUGAAGACUAUUUCUGCACCCACCUGUGGUUCAGAUUUGAGCUAAACCCUUUUCUUUGAUUUUUCUGUAUCUGAAUAUGCAUUCACUGUUUUGCAUGCCCUUUGUAACACUGCUGAUACAAUGCCAUAUUACUGACAAUGCAAUUGCAAUUGGCUUCAGUGGCAGCAGGAGCGAAAGCCAGACCCUGAAAUCCUUACUCAGCAAUUCAAGGUAACAAAUCGGAAUAAUGAAGGCAGCAUCUGUGACUUUCUAAUCAAGCUGCAAACUGUCAAACUCAAG